AUGCGUUUAAUUGUGUGGUAUGUAUUUGUUUACUUUUUCUUAGGAGAUGGACCAUUCCCAUCGAUUUCUGGUUGUUGGAGUGGGAGGCUGAACCCGGAAAUGGAGAAACUAAAAUGCUACCAGGUUGUGAGAAAGAGAAAGAGAAAAAGUGGGAAAGGAAACCUUGCCUUUGCCUCCGCGGCCAGGCCCGCCAAUAUUCUCCUCCUUUCUUCCUGUCCUCGAAAGUCUGAGGGCUUCUUGCUCAUCCUCAGGCACGCACUGCAUUUAGAAAAUAUGCCACUUUCUUCUGGCUCCCAUGGUUUCUGCUGAGAAAUAUGCUGUCAUUUCAGUUGUUU
RNAcentral lists this long non-coding RNA (335 nucleotides) under Mustela putorius furo (domestic ferret). RNAcentral's name for it is "lncRNA (ENSMPUG00000029229.1)". The record is from RNAcentral. Lineage: Eukaryota; Metazoa; Chordata; Mammalia; Carnivora; Mustelidae.